GCCAAAUAGCAUAAUAGCAAGGAACUCAAAAUCCCGCGCCGCAAGGCGUGCCGGUUCGAUUCCGGCUCCCGGCACCA
RNAcentral lists this transfer RNA (77 nucleotides) under Duganella sp. 1411. RNAcentral's name for it is "tRNA-Leu". The record is from RNAcentral. Lineage: Bacteria; Pseudomonadati; Pseudomonadota; Betaproteobacteria; Burkholderiales; Oxalobacteraceae.